This 255-nucleotide unclassified non-coding RNA is filed under the name Hevea brasiliensis (rubber tree). Lineage: Eukaryota; Viridiplantae; Streptophyta; Magnoliopsida; Malpighiales; Euphorbiaceae. The record is from RNAcentral.
GGUGGCCACUGGAUUAGGCCGUCCUGAAACACCACCUCCUUUAACAGUACAGCUGACAUCCCAAAGACCUAAUGUCUUUGUUUCAGAAAAGGGUCGCAACAAGCCAGCACGGUGAUAAGCAUCGGGAAAUGGACAUCAAAUUGUCUAUCCAUGCUCAUGCCGGGUUGAAUUCAGCCCCUUGCCUGUAUAAAGCAAAGGAAAACGCAGCCCAAAAAUUCUAUUGAAAUUAUAUGUAAAUAAUUGGCUGAAUUUGAU